RNAcentral lists this ribosomal RNA (429 nucleotides) under bacterium. RNAcentral describes it as "partial 16S ribosomal RNA". It matches the Rfam family "Bacterial small subunit ribosomal RNA", at positions 355 to 776 of the family's 1533-position model. The record is from RNAcentral.
UAGGGAAUCUUCCACAAUGGACGCAAGUCUGAUGGAGCAACGCCGCGUGAGUGAAGAAGGUUUUCGGAUCGUAAAGCUCUGUUGUUGGUGAAGAAGGAUAGAGGCAGUAACUGGUCUUUAUUUGACGGUAAUCAACCAGAAAGUCACGGCUAACUACGUGCCAGCAGCCGCGGUAAUACGUAGGUGGCAAGCGUUGUCCGGAUUUAUUGGGCGUAAAGCGAGCGCAGUCGGAAUGAUAAGUCUGAUGUGAAAGCCCACGGCUCAACCGUGGAACUGCAUCGGAAACUGUCAUUCUUGAGUGCAGAAGAGGAGAGUGGAAUUCCAUGUGUAGCGGUGGAAUGCGUAGAUAUAUGGAAGAACACCAGUGGCGAAGGCGGCUCUCUGGUCUGCAACUGACGCUGAGGCUCGAAAGCAUGGGUAGCGAACAGG